AGAAGAUGACGAGCGGCGGACGGGUGAGUAAUGCUUGGGAACAUACCUUGAGGUGGGGGACAACAGUUGGAAACGACUGCUAAUACCGCAUAAUGUCUACGGACCAAAGGGGGCUUCGGCUCUCGCCUUUAGAUUGGCCCAAGUGGGAUUAGCUAGUUGGUGAGGUAAUGGCUCACCAAGGCGACGAUCCCUAGCUGGUUUGAGAGGAUGAUCAGCCACACUGGGACUGAGACGCGGCCCAGACUCCUACGGGAGGCAGCAGUGGGGAAUAUUGCACAAUGGGCGGAAGCCUGAUGCAGCCAUGCCGCGUGUGUGAAGAAGGCCUUCGGGUUGUAAAGCACUUUCAGUCAGGAGGAAAGGUUAGUAGUUAAUACCUGCUAGCUGUGACGUUACUGACAGAAGAAGCACCGGCUAACUCCGUGCCAGCAGCCGCGGUAAUACGGAGGGUGCGAGCGUUAAUCGGAAUUACUGGGCGUAAAGCGUACGCAGGCGGUUUGUUAAGCGAGAUGUGAAAGCCCCGGGCUCAACCUGGGAACUGCAUUUCGAACUGGCAAACUAGAGUGUGAUAGAGGGUGGUAGAAUUUCAGGUGUAGCGGUGAAAUGCGUAGAGAUCUGAAGGAAUACCGAUGGCGAAGGCAGCCACCUGGGUCAACACUGACGCUCAUGUACGAAAGCGUGGGGAGCAAACAGGAUUAGAUACCCUGGUAG
This 708-nucleotide ribosomal RNA is filed under the name uncultured Pseudoalteromonas sp. RNAcentral describes it as "bacterial SSU rRNA". It matches the Rfam family "Bacterial small subunit ribosomal RNA", at positions 83 to 793 of the family's 1533-position model. Lineage: Bacteria; Pseudomonadati; Pseudomonadota; Gammaproteobacteria; Alteromonadales; Pseudoalteromonadaceae. The record is from RNAcentral.